UUUCCCUCCUCAACCAAAAAUCCCUAAUCUCCUCUUAUCUCUCUCUCUCUCUCUCUCUCUCUUCGGCGAGCGGCGGCAGACUAGGGUGUGAUCUUGGUCAUCAUCUUCUUCACUUAUCAUCUAAGAAACCCUAGAAUUUUUUAGUGUAUUUUGGGGAAAAGAAAAGAUAGGUGAAUGGGGGAAGGAGAGAGGAGUCGCCAGCGCCGAUCCGCUUUAACCUCACUACCGAACCUUCCAAGGAGUUGCCAACUAUCCUCCUCCUCCUCCUCCUCCUCAUCCUCAUCCUCAGCCCGCCAUCGGCUUCCCUCAACCUGUUCCUCCCCCAGGCGCCUCCGAACCCUAUGCUAAUGCCUAUCAAGCCGUUCGAGAAGAUUCAAUGGUGAAGUUGGAUAGAAUCUGUCGGGAAGCAAAUGUCAUGUUGGUAUUUGCACACUCCUAUGGCCUCACAGGGUUUGUUCGGAUCAGUGUGAAGGAACAUACUGUGAUUGAGUCAAAGCCUGAUCAUUUUCUGGAUGAUCUCCGACUAAAUUGCCCAUGGCCUGAGUUGAGGAGGUAUGGGUCUCAAAACUUAUUUUUUCAUUUGUUUGGUUGACUGUUGUGAGUUGUUUAUUUUGGCGCAUUAAUUGUUAGUCUGUAUAUGCUAAUGGCAUUUAAUUUUUUGUUACAAAAAAUUUGGGACAUGAAUUUUUGGGAAACAAAUUUAUCACGAGCUAU
Camellia sinensis is the source of this 714-nucleotide non-coding RNA. The record is from RefSeq and is a predicted model, not a curated record. NCBI's taxonomy places the organism in Eukaryota, Viridiplantae, Streptophyta, Magnoliopsida, Ericales, Theaceae.